Molecule: ribosomal RNA, 492 nt
Filed under: uncultured bacterium
Lineage: Bacteria
Description: partial 16S ribosomal RNA
Rfam family: Bacterial small subunit ribosomal RNA
Source: RNAcentral
AGUGAACGCUGGCGGUAGGCCUAACACAUGCGAGUCGAACGGCAGCACAGUAAGAGCUUGCUCUUACGGGUGGCGAGUGGCGGACGGGUGAGGAAUACAUCGGAAUCUACUUUUUCGUGGGGGAUAACGUAGGGAAACUUACGCUAAUACCUCAUACGACCUACGGGUGAAAGCAGGGGAUCUUCGGACCUUGCGCGAUUGAAUGAGCCGAUGUCGGAUUAGCUAGUUGGCGGGGUAAAGGCCCACCAAGGCGACGAUCCGUAGCUGGUCUGAGAGGAUGAUCAGCCACACUGGAACUGAGACACGGUCCAGACUCCUACGGGAGGCAGCAGUGGGGAAUAUUGGACAAUGGGCGCAAGCCUGAUCCAGCCAUACCGCGUGGGUGAAGAAGGCCUUCGGGUUGUAAAGCCCUUUUGUUGGGAAAGAAAAGCAGCAGGUUAAUACCCCGCUGUUCUGACGGUACCCAAAGAAUAAGCACCGGCUAACUUCGUG